This 200-nucleotide long non-coding RNA is filed under the name Salvia miltiorrhiza (redroot sage). RNAcentral's name for it is "long non-coding RNA (SMIL_LNC008824)". Lineage: Eukaryota; Viridiplantae; Streptophyta; Magnoliopsida; Lamiales; Lamiaceae. The record is from RNAcentral.
CCCGAUUCAUUGUGAGCCAUGGUUAGCAUAUCUUAAACACUCUCUUUUGCGUCGUUGUGAGCUUUCUUCACAACCUUCAAAUGCUUUAACAUCGACAUUCUUCAUUUAACGCCUAAAGCAUCACAAUUAACCAUUAAGCUCAAAUUAACACAAAAUCACCACUACUCUACACAACUUUUACAAUAAAAUAUGACUAAACU